UGAAACUACUGCAAGAGAAAGUAGGAGAGACAUUAGAACUUACAGGUACAGGCAGGAACUUCCUGAAUAGAGUCCCAGGGCACAACAGAUAGGAGAGAGACUAGACAAAUGGAACUACAUUAAGGUAAAAAGUGUCUGCACAGCUAAGGAAAUAGCUACUAAACUAGAAAGACAACCAACUAAAUGGGAAAAGAUCUUUACCAGCACAGCAACAAACAAAGGCCUAAU
Molecule: long non-coding RNA, 228 nt
Organism: Dipodomys spectabilis (banner-tailed kangaroo rat)
Lineage: Eukaryota; Metazoa; Chordata; Mammalia; Rodentia; Heteromyidae
Exons: 4
Source: RefSeq, a predicted model, not a curated record